CCGCACACAUCGGGGCGUUAGCGGUGCUCUGUACCCGCAAUCCGCUACAGCGGGGAUGAUGCGGGCAAGGAGGGACGGGCUUUCGGCAAGGUGGUCGCCCACAGAGCGAUGAGAGACCGGUACUGCGCAACGGAGGACUGUGAACCAUGUCAGGCGGGGAACCGAGCAGCAUUAAGCAGAAACCAUCGUGUGCCGCAGAGCUGCCGAUCUUGAGCUUAAAGUGCGAAGAACGGCCGGGCGUUCGCUUUCGAAUUGUCCGCGUGCGG
Molecule: signal recognition particle RNA, 266 nt
Filed under: Agathobaculum faecis
Lineage: Bacteria; Bacillati; Bacillota; Clostridia; Eubacteriales; Butyricicoccaceae
Also listed under: 1 other name
Description: Bacterial large signal recognition particle RNA
Rfam family: Bacterial large signal recognition particle RNA
About the family: The signal recognition particle (SRP) is a universally conserved ribonucleoprotein involved in the co-translational targeting of proteins to membranes. Archaeal SRP consists of a 7S RNA and homologues of the eukaryotic SRP19 and SRP54 proteins.
Source: Rfam by way of RNAcentral